AUGAUGCAGAGCUUGCAUUUCGUGAUUGACAAAUGGUCACCAUGGAACCGUAGUGGUUUUAGUCCUGGUCAGCGACGGCGUGGUUCUAUGCAGAGGCAAAGUUGUCGUGAAUAUGGAUCAAACGGGGCCUAUGCAGAGGCAAAGUUGUCGCCUGGCUGUAAGAUUCAAAAGCAUGUUCAACAGCUUUUUUGGGAUCCAAGUGGCUGCAGUUUAAUUUUUUCCUGGUCUGAAAUCUCCAUCAUCCGUACGAAGCUGUGUACAGUGGGACCUGAGUGGCUUGAACUUCUCUAUUUGUUUGGUGCUUUGCUCCGUCCACCUGUGGUCUAUGAUGAUGCUGCUUACACCAAGUUUCUACUUACCCAGUUUGAUAGAAGUCUAGUGGGCAAAUGGUUAACACUAGAGGUGCUUAUGAUGGUACGAGUAUCCGCUGCUAGCUUACUGGAUACCAUCUGA
This 453-nucleotide ribosomal RNA is filed under the name Triticum aestivum (bread wheat). Its description in RNAcentral is "partial small subunit ribosomal RNA". Lineage: Eukaryota; Viridiplantae; Streptophyta; Magnoliopsida; Poales; Poaceae. The record is from RNAcentral.